UAGGGACAUGGGCUCCAGCGGUGCCCGGCCUGCCUUGCUAUCCUGCUUCCAGAAGCUGAGUCCACCCCGGACUUCUCGGACGUCUAGGAAAUUGUGUCUCCGGGGGAGAGAGUGGUGCCUGGGAGCUGGAUGGAGAGGCAGCGGCAUCUACCGGAGUGAAGCAAGGCUUUUCAACGUGGCCAUUUAAUGUGUAUUGGUCAGGCCCUGGCAGGACAUAGGACACCCUCAAAUUGGGUCAUUUGGGGAGAAUUUAACGGAUUUGGCAUCUGCAAAGGGGCCCCCACUGUGAGGGCUCCCGGCCCGCUGCCUGGGGAAGGUGAGGAUCUGACCCCCACUGGGCCGCAGGUGCUGUUGACCUCUGAGUGCUGGUGCGCAGCCAGGACAGGGCGCCGAACCAAGGCCAGGUGCGGUAAUGGGUGAACGGACACAGGGGCAAAGAGAUCCCAGCCCUGCUGGAACGGGCCGGCGUGAACGGGAGUAGCUGACACGUGGGGGCGCCCAGGGCGGCGAGCGCUGUCCCCUGGGGGGCCCAGGAGGAAAUCCAGAGCCCCUGAGAUGGGCCCCCGAGGCCGUGGUGAUGACUUGAUCCUGGGUCCAUUCUUCUCCGUCUCACAGGCGAGGGCCGGGAGCCCAGCUGGAGCUGGCGUGGAGGAAACGGCCCCUCUCCAGGCCGCUCCCUCUCCGUCAAGGAUCAGGGGCACUUCUUGCCCAGCAGGAGAGCGGGUCCCCAUCCUCCGCGGCCCCACUGGCCACAACUCACCGCUGACACAGUUGCGGGUUUACCGCCAGGAAAGGUGCGGCCGGAAGAGCCGAGGCAGGGCCAAAGGAAAACGACACGAGGCAGCAAGAGCCAGGUCUGCCCAGGCUCGGGGCUGGCCCCCACCGCUGGGGGCUGUGGGGCAGUGGGCAAGGACGGAACGUCAGGGGGUGUGGACUAUCCUGGCACGGGAGCCGCUGUUCCUGCCAUCACCCCCAAUCCAAGCUGCGGGGGCUCCUCCCAUGGCCGUCUUGAGGGAGCAGGUGGGCGAAUCACACUCCCUGCCCCUGGGAGGCCCCAGACGCAAGAGGCAGACAGGUACCGAGGUGAUCCAGUGCUUGAGAGCCUCCUGGAAUCUCCGGGAGUUGACUCUCCGGGGGUAGUCUACCAGGAGGGGUGGCCGACCACGCACGCGUGUGCACUGAACACUCCUAUGUGCCCAGCCCUGUGGACAAACUGUUGAAGUCCUGCUCCCAAGGGGCUUACCUAUCAG
Molecule: non-coding RNA, 1250 nt
Organism: Microcebus murinus (gray mouse lemur)
Lineage: Eukaryota; Metazoa; Chordata; Mammalia; Primates; Cheirogaleidae
Source: RefSeq, a predicted model, not a curated record